Molecule: unclassified non-coding RNA, 390 nt
Filed under: soil metagenome
Description: partial contains 5.8S ribosomal RNA, internal transcribed spacer 2, and large subunit ribosomal RNA
Rfam family: 5.8S ribosomal RNA (bases 2-121)
Source: RNAcentral
GUGAAGAACGUAGCGAAAUGCGAUACUUGGUGUGAAUUGCAGAAUCCCGUGAACCAUCGAGUCUUUGAACGCAAGUUGCGCCCGAAGCCAUUAGGCCGAGGGCACGCCUGCCUGGGCGUCACACGUCGUUGCCCCCCCAUCUACUCCUUCGGGAUUGCGGGGGGCGGAUGAUGGCCUCCCGUGCGCCUCGCCGCGCGGUUGGCAUAAAUGCCAAGUCCUCGGCGACGCACGCCACGACAAUCGGUGGUUGCGAAACCUCGGUUGCCCGUCGUGUGCGGUCGUCGCGCAUCGAGGGCUCGAAAAAAUUGCCGGGUUCCGGCUCGGCUUUCAACGCGACCCCAGGUCAGGCAGGGUUACCCGCUGAAUUUAAGCAUAUCAAUAAGCGGAGGA